Long non-coding RNA from Zingiber officinale, 465 nucleotides. RefSeq lists it as uncharacterized. The record is from RefSeq and is a predicted model, not a curated record. The transcript has 2 exons. Lineage: Eukaryota; Viridiplantae; Streptophyta; Magnoliopsida; Zingiberales; Zingiberaceae.
GCAGGUGCAGAAGGAUAUGAGAUGGCUUAGCUUAGCCUGCAAGGAAAACUAAUCAGAAGAAAACAAACUAAUCUAUAAAAAGAGCCACACACUCUCUUUUUCUUAUUCAUCAAUCACCUCUCUUUCUCCCCCCUUCUUUCUUUCUUUCUUUCUGCCUCCUCUUGGUGUUGCAGGAAUUAAAGCAAUAAGCGAGGAAGAUGUACGCUCCGAUGGGGUCACAGGAGAUGUCUUACUUGGAGCACGUCCACAGGCGCCACCAUGAGAAAGGCUUCCUCUAUGCCUGUUUGUUUGCGUUGUGUUGCUGCUUCUGCUGCUUUGAGACCUGCGAGUGCUGCCUCGACUGCCUCUGCUGCUGCUGCUGCAACUAGGAAUUAAUCAAUCAAUGUCAAGGAACAGCAGCUGAUGGAAGAAUGAAUGCAAUCCAUUAUAUAUGGCAUUUAAUCCACAAUAAAACUUAUGGGCUCA